GAUGAAGAACGCAGCGAAAUGCGAUAAGUAAUGUGAAUUGCAGAAUUCAGUGAAUCAUCGAAUCUUUGAACGCACAUUGCGCCCCCUGGUAUUCCGGGGGGCAUGCCUGUUCGAGCGUCAUUUCACCACUCAAGCCUCGCUUGGUAUUGGGCAACGCGGUCCGCCGCGUGCCUCAAAUCGUCCGGCUGGGUCUUCUGUCCCCUAAGCGUUGUGGAAACUAUUCACUAAAGGGUGUUCGGGAGGCUACGCCGUAAAACAACCCCAUUUCUAAGGUUGACCUCGGAUCAGGUAGGGAUACCCGCUGAACUUAAGCAUAUCAAUAAGCGGAGGA
Molecule: unclassified non-coding RNA, 331 nt
Filed under: soil metagenome
Description: partial contains 5.8S ribosomal RNA, internal transcribed spacer 2, and large subunit ribosomal RNA
Rfam family: 5.8S ribosomal RNA (bases 1-120)
Source: RNAcentral